ACCUGAAACCGUGUACGUACAAGCAGUGGGAGCACAGAGCAAUCUGUGUGACUGCGUACCUUUUGUAUAAUGGGUCAGCGACUUAUAUUCUGUAGCAAGGUUAACCGAAUAGGGGAGCCGAAGGGAAACCGAGUCUUAACUGGGCGUUAAGUUGCAGGGUAUAGACCCGAAACCCGGUGAUCUAGCCAUGGGCAGGUUGAAGGUUGGGUAACACUAACUGGAGGACCGAACCGACUAAUGUUGAAAAAUUAGCGGAUGACUUGUGGCUGGGGGUGAAAGGCCAAUCAAACCGGGAGAUAGCUGGUUCUCCCCGAAAGCUAUUUAGGUAGCGCCUCGUGAAUUCAUCUCCGGGGGUAGAGCACUGUUUCGGCAAGGGGGUCAUCCCGACUUACCAACCCGAUGCAAACUGCGAAUACCGGAGAAUGUUAUCACGGGAGACACACGGCGGGUGCUAACGUCCGUCGUGAAGAGGGAAACAACCCAGACCGCCAGCUAAGGUCCCAAAGUCAUGGUUAAGUGGGAAACGAUGUGGGAAGGCCCAGACAGCCAGGAUGUUGGCUUAGAAGCAGCCAUCAUUUAAAGAAAGCGUAAUAGCUCACUGGUCGAGUCGGCCUGCGCGGAAGAUGUAACGGGGCUAAACCAU
Molecule: ribosomal RNA, 643 nt
Filed under: Escherichia coli
Lineage: Bacteria; Pseudomonadati; Pseudomonadota; Gammaproteobacteria; Enterobacterales; Enterobacteriaceae
Description: partial 23S ribosomal RNA
Rfam family: Bacterial large subunit ribosomal RNA
Source: RNAcentral